Molecule: ribosomal RNA, 162 nt
Filed under: Lysionotus pauciflorus
Lineage: Eukaryota; Viridiplantae; Streptophyta; Magnoliopsida; Lamiales; Gesneriaceae
Also listed under: 7 other names
Description: 5.8S ribosomal RNA
Rfam family: 5.8S ribosomal RNA
About the family: 5.8S ribosomal RNA (5.8S rRNA) is a component of the large subunit of the eukaryotic ribosome. It is transcribed by RNA polymerase I as part of the 45S precursor that also contains 18S and 28S rRNA.
Source: RNAcentral
AACGACUCUCGGCAACGGAUAUCUCGGCUCUCGCAUCGAUGAAGAACGUAGCGAAAUGCGAUACUUGGUGUGAAUUGCAGAAUCCCGUGAACCAUCGAGUCUUUGAACGCAAGUUGCGCCCGAAGCCAUCUGGCCGAGGGCACGUCUGCCUGGGCGUCACGC